UGAAAAACGCACAAACUCUAUUUCGGACCUUAUACUUCAAAAGCAUGGCUCAUUCCCUCCCUCGAUUUCAGAUUGAAAAAACGUGGCUCACCGCUAUGUCCUUCUCACCGGCCAUCGUCUCCCUCUCUCCGACCUUCUCACCGGCUGUCGUCUCCCUCUAUCCCACCUUCUCACCGUGGUGCGAUUAGGUUUGGUAAGUCUCUCGUUGUUCUCUCUUGCUCUACCAAUUCUCUGUUUAUUGUCCUCAAUCUCUCACACCCACUCUCGGUUGCUUGCCCUAGUGCGUUUUUGAUGGUCAACAUUGGAUUGCUGUAUGGUGUUUUAAAGAACUUGUUGGUGUGAUGUUUCUUGCAAGGUUAGUCUAUCACAAUCUUUCAUAUAGGAAACUUAGGGUUUGCUUUUGAACAGGUUAAUUUGUUUGAGUUUGAAUUUGUUGUUUGAUUUCUUUGGUUUUAUAAUCUAGGAUUAGUUCGUUUGAAUUUGGUGUAAUUCCUACAAUCGUUACUUCAAGUUCAUUAUUUUAGCCAUCUUUAUUGCUCGACUUCACUGUUUCUCAGCUGUCUUUCAGUUUCUUUGCUGAUUCUGUAGAGAUUUUUUACUUAAUUAUGCCCAAUUAUCCCUGUUCAUUGGGUCAUUUUAGUUCAUUGCAUUGGAGAAUAAUUCUCUGCAUCUAUUAUAGAUUCAUUAUGACUUAAAACAUGUGAAAACCAGUCCCAGAGUCUGCAUUGUUGGGAAAUUGUUGGUACGAAAACGGACCAUUGAAUUCUUCGUGUAAAAGUAAGUAAUUGUCUGCAUACCCACUAUAUCAUAUCAUUUACAUUCGUUGCACUUUUUUACCCUGGUUAUUUUGCAUCUGGUAUGCCAGACAUGUUUCACAUUUUAAUGUUAUUUCUAUCGAGUAAUUGUUAAAGUUUAAUCUAACAGAUGAGGCACAUCCAAUGUGUUUGAAAAAGUUUCUCCUAUAUUUCUGUAUUUAUGUAUGUGAAGGAGAGGGACCAAUAGAUGUCAUACGUGUUUAGGUAGCGAAAGACUUUACUGAACUUUAGAUAAUACAUUUGUUUGGUUUAUCAAUA
Molecule: long non-coding RNA, 1073 nt
Filed under: Vigna radiata
Lineage: Eukaryota; Viridiplantae; Streptophyta; Magnoliopsida; Fabales; Fabaceae
Description: long non-coding RNA (VRAD_LNC007517)
Source: RNAcentral